CUCGGUGGCAAUAGCGAGGAGGAAACACCCGUUCCCAUCCCGAACACGGAAGUUAAGCUCCUCAGCGCCGAUGGUACUGCGCGGGGGGCCGCGUGGGAGAGUAGGUCGUCGCCGAGA
RNAcentral lists this ribosomal RNA (117 nucleotides) under Desulfobacteraceae bacterium. Lineage: Bacteria; Pseudomonadati; Thermodesulfobacteriota; Desulfobacteria; Desulfobacterales; Desulfobacteraceae. The record is from RNAcentral.